RNAcentral lists this ribosomal RNA (486 nucleotides) under uncultured bacterium. RNAcentral's name for it is "partial 16S ribosomal RNA". It matches the Rfam family "Bacterial small subunit ribosomal RNA", at positions 29 to 507 of the family's 1533-position model. The record is from RNAcentral.
AUUGAACGCUGGCGGCAUGCCUUACACAUGCAAGUCGAACGGCAGCACGGGUGCUUGCCCCUGGUGGCGAGUGGCGAACGGGUGAGUAAUACAUCGGAACAUGUCCUGUAGUGGGGGAUAGCCCGGCGAAAGCCGGAUUAAUACCGCAUACGAUCUACGGAUGAAAGCGGGGGACCUUCGGGCCUCGCGCCAUAGGGUUGGCCGAUGGCUGAUUAGCUAGUUGGUGGGGUAAAGGCCUACCAAGGCGACGAUCAGUAGCCGGUCUGAGAGGACGACCAGCCACACUGGGACUGAGACACGGCCCAGACUCCUACGGGAGGCAGCAGUGGGGAAUUUUGGACAAUGGGCGAAAGCCUGACCCAGCAAUGCCGCGUGUGUGAAGAAGGCCUUCGGGUUGUAAAGCACUUUUGUCCGGAAAGAAAUCCUUGGCCCUAAUACGGUCGGGGGAUGACGGUACCGGAAGAGUAAGCACCGGCUAACUACGUG